Molecule: ribosomal RNA, 253 nt
Filed under: uncultured bacterium
Lineage: Bacteria
Description: partial 16S ribosomal RNA
Rfam family: Bacterial small subunit ribosomal RNA
Source: RNAcentral
UACGAAGGGUGCAAGCGUUAUCCGGAUUCAUUGGGUUUAAAGGGUGCGUAGGCGGGGCAAUAAGUCAGUGGUGAAAUCCUGCGGCUUAACCGUAGAAUUGCCAUUGAUACUGUUGCUCUUGAGUAGGCUCGACGUGGGCGGAAUAUGUCAUGUAGCGGUGAAAUGCUUAGAUAUUGGGAAGAACACCGGUGGCGAAGGCGGCCAUCUGGACCGGCACUGACGCUGAGGCGCGAAAGCCAGGGGAGCGAAUGGG